GUGCCAGCAGCCGCGGUAAUACGGAGGAUUCAAGCGUUAUCCGGAUUUAUUGGGUUUAAAGGGUGCGUAGGCGGUUUGAUAAGUUAGAGGUGAAAUCCCGGGGCUUAACUCCGGAACUGCCUCUAAUACUGUUAGACUAGAGAGUAGUUGCGGUAGGCGGAAUGUAUGGUGUAGCGGUGAAAUGCUUAGAGAUCAUACAGAACACCGAUUGCGAAGGCAGCUUACCAAACUAUAUCUGACGUUGAGGCACGAAAGCGUGGGGAGCAAACAGGAUUAGAUACCCUGGUAGUCCACGCAGUAAACGAUGAUAACUCGUUGUCGGCGAUACACAGUCGGUGACUAAGCGAAAGCGAUAAGUUAUCCACCUGGGGA
Molecule: ribosomal RNA, 372 nt
Filed under: uncultured bacterium
Lineage: Bacteria
Description: bacterial SSU rRNA
Rfam family: Bacterial small subunit ribosomal RNA
Source: RNAcentral